AGACGGAUUCCAUUUCUAGAUAUGAAACCAGUUCUACAUCAGCUGGUGAUCGAUAUGAUUCCUUGCUGGGUCGCUCUGGAUCAUACAGUUACUUAGAAGAAAGAAAACCUUACAGCAGCAGGCUAGAAAAGGAUGACUCAACUGACUUUAAAAAGGUACUUGGGUUAUUUAGUUAUAUUUAAUAAAAAAUGUUAUCUUUUAUGUUGAGAUACUCAUAUUCAAAUAUUUUAAAAACUCAUAAUGAAAUGAGUAUUUUGAAAUAACUUAUUUUCAUUUUCAGUUUUCGGCAACUGAUGGUUAAGUAGAAUGUAAAUAGCUGUUUGUUUAUUAAAGGGAAGAGAAAAUCAUCCAAGAUGAUUUUACAUUUAAGUAUCUCAAGUCAUUGCUAUGAUUGAGCUGGAAAGGAGCAUUCAGUAAAUGGGUGCACACAAAUGUAUACACACUUUGUUUCUUUGUUACUAGGAAGCAGCCAAACAGAGAAGAUGGCUUUUCCUAAGAGAAUAUAUUGAUAGUUUUUCAUAGGUAACUGAAAAACUUGGGGCAGCUCAGGUGCUAGUAAGGAUUGAAGUAAUUAAUAAAUAAAUCCCAGAAACUGUAUCUUCUUAUUUUGUGCUUAUAGUAAACAUAGUCUGUUGGAGAAGGAGAAAGCUUAUGGCAUUUGUACAUGUCCCCAGUUAUCUGGCAGCUAUUUGAAUUAUAUACUUUUUUAAAAGCCAAGUUAGGGGAACGGGUGAGGGAGAGAAUCAUUUUACAUUAUGAGUAAGAUUCAUCAUUUAUUCAAUAAAGAACUGAACUAUGCUAAGUAGAGAGAUUCUAAUCAUGGGCAAAUGGAGAUGAAGAUACUAUCUUGCUCUCAUGGGCAUCUUCCAUGUAGUGGGGGAGAGAGACCUUAUUACACAGUCAUACUAAUGACUGUAUAAUAAAUAAUGGAGACAGUUAACCUGAAGUAGAAAAGCAAUUUUAUAAAAGUAUAUAACAAAAGAAAGUAGAUUGAUUUCCUUGGCUGGGCGCAGUGGCUCACGCCUGUAAUCCCAGCACUUUGGGAGGCUAUGGCAGGCCAUCACCUGAGGUCGGGAGUUCGAGACCAGCCUGACCAACAUGAAGAAACCCCGUCUCUACCAAAAAUACAAAAUUACCCCAGGUGUGGUGGCCUAUAAUCCCAGCUACUCAGGAAGCUGAGGCAGGAGAAUCACUUGAACCCAGGAGGCAGAGGUUGCAGUGAGCUGAGAUCACGCCAUUGCACUCCAGCCUGGGCAACAAGAGGAAAACUCUGUCUCAAAAAAAAAGAAAGUGGAUUGAUUUCCAAAGGAAGUGUGGUUUCAGCCAAAAAUGGAAGGAUUACUAAUAGUUAACGGGCAAAAAUGGGUGAGAAAAUUAUUCCAAAUAGAGUGGAACUACAAGCACAUAGACUUGGUGGGGGGAGAAUACAUGAUGCAUUGGAAUAAUUAAAUUUUAAUUAUGGCUAGUAGAGUGGAAGAAAUAUUCAUUUGAGGCAGCAGUUGUGUAGGCUGGGACCAGAUCAUGCAGUGCCUUAUAGGCCAUUCUAAGAUUUUUCGUAUGCUAAGAACAUUGGGAGGCCAUUCAAGAGUUUUUAAUUUGUGGGUGGAAAUGGAAUGGUUGGCCUAUGAAAAUUAUGAGAUUUUCAUUUUGAAAAGUUAAUUUUAGCUCCUAUAUAUAAAACAGAUGAGAGGGUGAUCAGGGAAUUAGAAUAGUUUAGAUAAGAGAUGAUCAUAGCCAGAAUUAUGGUGGAAGUAGUAAAGCCAGGGGUAAGGAAGAAGCAGUGUUAAGGAAGAUGAAAAGCAUUAGAAAAGAGGAAGGUCUUUAUCCUGGAUUUGAAAUAUUUCAGGAAAUACAUCAUUUGCCUUUUAACUUUACUAUAAGCAAUGUAGAAGUAUAAUGAUAAAUACAGCUGGUACUCCAUCUCAUUUUUGGGAAUUCAAGAGAGAGUGAUGGGCAGAAAAUCUCACGGACUCCAGAUAAAGUUCACAGUGACUCCUUAGCCCUAGCUGCAGUUGCUGUGCAGCUUUAUGAACAAAUUCUAGCUGAAAAUGAAAAGCUGAAGGCACAGCUACAUGAUACAAAUAUGGAACUAACGGAUCUUAAAUUACAGUUGGAAAAGGCCACACAGAGACAAGAAAGAUUUGCUGAUAGGUCACUGUUGGAAAUGGAAAAAAGGGUGACCGGCAAGAGUCAGUAUCCUCUGGGCGGUAUGACCUAACCAGUUUUACAGCUCAUCAAUUACUGCUGCUUGCUUUUUGCAUAACACCCCAAAAUGCUUAUCAUUUAAGGGAGAAUAAAACAGUACACUGCAAUGAUGCGUUGUGUGUUGGCUUUGCCUGUCACUCUUUGAAACAAGGUUAAAAUAAACGCUGCAGUUGCUUCUCUGUUACAUUCACCGCAUUAAUGCUACACAUAAUGUCAACCUAAAUACAAAGCUAUAAAGUCAGUUGGAUAAAUAAUGGCUAGUACACAUUGUGGGUGGAGGAAAUGAGCUUCUCUUACAUUCCCCUGAAAUUGCAAAGUACACAUAUUUUAGGCAUGUUUGCUUCUUGCUUUUCUGCUUCUGUCACUGUAAUAUGAUUGCAUCUUUGUGUGAGUUUUGUUUUUCUUUUCUGUACAGUCUUCAGUCUUGAGUAUUGAUUCACUCUAAGUUUUACAUGAACUCAAAAAGUAGUUUGAACAUGUUUUAUAGCAUCUUCCCAGAAAGUCAAAGCUUUAAAUUAAGAGCUUGUACUCUAAGGAUAAAGAUCUUCAUAUUUAUUUUUGUCAAAUUUUGGAAAGCUUUUUACAUAUCACUGGCAUCACAUCUUUUCUACACUGCUCCUGAUUGGACCUUUAAUUCUGAAGUAUCACUAUUUCACAAUAUAGAAGAAGACUUAAGAAUAUAAUAAUUAUAUAACUAACAUUGGUACCUUAAAUCGAUCUAGGAACGAAGAGCUCUAGAAAGAAGAAUAUCUGAAAUGGAAGAAGAGCUCAAAAUGUUACCAGACCUAAAAGCAGACAACCAGAGGCUAAAGGAUGAAAAUGGGGCCUUGAUCAGAGUUAUAAGCAAACUUUCCAAAU
RNAcentral lists this small RNA (3063 nucleotides) under Pongo abelii (Sumatran orangutan). Its description in RNAcentral is "retained intron". Lineage: Eukaryota; Metazoa; Chordata; Mammalia; Primates; Hominidae. The record is from RNAcentral.